AUUGAACGCUGGCGGCAGGCCUAACACAUGCAAGUCGAACGGUAACAGGAAGCAGCUUGCUGCUUUGCUGACGAGUGGCGGACGGGUGAGUAAUGUCUGGGAAACUGCCUGAUGGAGGGGGAUAACUACUGGAAACGGUAGCUAAUACCGCAUAACGUCGCAAGACCAAAGAGGGGGACCUUAGGGCCUCUUGCCAUCGGAUGUGCCCAGAUGGGAUUAGCUAGUAGGUGGGGUAACGGCUCACCUAGGCGACGAUCCCUAGCUGGUCUGAGAGGAUGACCAGCCACACUGGAACUGAGACACGGUCCAGACUCAUAGGGGAGGAAGCAGGGGGAAAUAUUGCACAAGGGGGGCAAGCUGGAUGCAGCCGGGCCGGGGGAAGAAAAAAGGCUUGGGGUUUGAAAAUUCCUUCAGGGGGGGGGGAGGGGAAAAAAUUAAUUACCUUGGCCAAUGGACUUUCCCCGAAAAAGAACCCCCGGCAAACCCCGUG
This 490-nucleotide ribosomal RNA is filed under the name uncultured bacterium. Its description in RNAcentral is "partial 16S ribosomal RNA". It matches the Rfam family "Bacterial small subunit ribosomal RNA", at positions 29 to 507 of the family's 1533-position model. The record is from RNAcentral.